This 254-nucleotide ribosomal RNA is filed under the name uncultured bacterium. RNAcentral describes it as "partial 16S ribosomal RNA". It matches the Rfam family "Bacterial small subunit ribosomal RNA", at positions 524 to 776 of the family's 1533-position model. The record is from RNAcentral.
UACGGGGGGAGCAAGCGUUGUUCGGAUUUACUGGGCGUAAAGGGCGCGUAGGCGGCCACCGCAAGUCGACUGUGAAAUCUCCGGGCUUAACCCGGAAAGGUCAGCCGAUACUGCGGGGCUAGAGUGCAGAAGGGGCAACUGGAAUUCUCGGUGUAGCGGUGAAAUGCGUAGAGAUUGGGAAGAACACCGGUGGCGAAAGCGCUCUACUGGGCCUGCACUGACACUCAUGGACGAAAGCUAGGGGAGCGAAAGGG